CAGGAUUCUCUCCAUGUUGGUCCUAGGCCUCUUCUAUAUGAGCAUACCUCUCAAAUCACUCUAGCAUUUCAGUGAAGUCUUUUGGGCAUUUUUUAUUGAGCAAGAAGAGGAGGUAAUUUUGGAGGAGUCUAGUCUUGAGUACAGUCAUUGCUAUUGAUUGAUCUAAGUUUCAUACCUCCAAAGUCAAAGCAUUAAGCCGAUUGAUGUAGUCUCCAAGAGACUCAUUUUCUCGCUAUUUAAUGCUGAUGAAAAGGU
This 255-nucleotide long non-coding RNA is filed under the name Elaeis guineensis (African oil palm). RNAcentral describes it as "long non-coding RNA (EGUI_LNC026051)". Lineage: Eukaryota; Viridiplantae; Streptophyta; Magnoliopsida; Arecales; Arecaceae. The record is from RNAcentral.